CAUGAAACUCACUUCAAUGGAGCUAAUUGAUUGUCCGAGCCUCAAGAAAAUUCCAAGUUGUGUUGAGAUGGGAUCCCUUAAGAGUCUCAAACUUUCUUGUCUUCCAAAAUUGAGGGAAUUGCCAGAAACCAAGGGGAUGCACCGUUUAUUGACGUUAGAGCUGACUAACUGUCAAUACCUUGAGAAGCUUCCAAAUUUUGAUCAGAUGGAAUCCCUUGAGACUCUCAAACUUUCUUGUCUUCCAAAAUUGAGGGAAUUGCCAGAAACCAAGGGGAUGCACCGUUUAUUGACGUUAGAGCUGACUAACUGUCAAUACCUUGAGAAGCUUCCAAAUUUUGAUCAGAUGGAAUCCCUUGAGAC
This 360-nucleotide unclassified non-coding RNA is filed under the name Hevea brasiliensis (rubber tree). The record is from RNAcentral. Lineage: Eukaryota; Viridiplantae; Streptophyta; Magnoliopsida; Malpighiales; Euphorbiaceae.